UACAGAGGUCUCAAGCGUUGUUCGGAUUCAUUGGGCGUAAAGGGUGCGUAGGCGGCGCGGAAAGUCAGAUGUGAAAUCCGAAGGCUCAACCUUCGAAUAGCAUCCGAAACUUCCAUGCUCGAGAUUUGUAGAGGAGUCUGGAACUCUCGGUGUAGCAGUGAAAUGCGUGGAUAUCGAGAAGAACGCUCGUAGCGAAGGCGAGACUCUGGGCAAGUUCUGACGCUGAGGCACGAAGGCUAGGGGAGCAAACGGG
Molecule: ribosomal RNA, 253 nt
Filed under: uncultured bacterium
Lineage: Bacteria
Description: partial 16S ribosomal RNA
Rfam family: Bacterial small subunit ribosomal RNA
Source: RNAcentral